This 467-nucleotide ribosomal RNA is filed under the name uncultured bacterium. Its description in RNAcentral is "partial 16S ribosomal RNA". It matches the Rfam family "Bacterial small subunit ribosomal RNA", at positions 28 to 507 of the family's 1533-position model. The record is from RNAcentral.
GAUGAACGCUGGCGGCGUGCUUAACACAUGCAAGUCGAACGGAAAGGCUCCUGCUUGCCGGGGUCCUCGAGUGGCGAACGGGUGAGUAACACGUGGGUGAUCUGCCCUGCACUUCGGGAUAAGCCUGGGAAACUGGGUCUAAUACCGGAUAGGACCACAUUUUGGAUGGUGUGGUGGAAAGUUUUUCGGUGUGGGAUGAGCUCGCGGCCUAUCAGCUUGUUGGUGGGGUAAUGGCCUACCAAGGCGUCGACGGGUAGCCGGCCUGAGAGGGUGUACGGCCACAUUGGGACUGAGAUACGGCCCAGACUCCUACGGGAGGCAGCAGUGGGGAAUAUUGCACAAUGGGCGCAAGCCUGAUGCAGCGACGCCGCGUGGGGGAUGACGGCCUUCGGGUUGUAAACUCCUUUCGCUAGGGACGAAGCGUUUUUGUGACGGUACCUGGAGAAGAAGCACCGGCUAACUACGUG